This 275-nucleotide ribosomal RNA is filed under the name uncultured prokaryote. Its description in RNAcentral is "partial 16S ribosomal RNA". It matches the Rfam family "Bacterial small subunit ribosomal RNA", at positions 524 to 798 of the family's 1533-position model. The record is from RNAcentral.
UACGGAGGAUCCGAGCGUUAUCCGGAUUUAUUGGGUUUAAAGGGUGCGCAGGCGGGAGAUUAAGUCGGCGGUGAAAUUUUGCAGCUCAACUGUAAAAGUGCCUUCGAAACUGGUUUCCUUGAGUGUAGAUGAAGUAGGCGGAAUUUGUGGUGUAGCGGUGAAAUGCUUAGAUAUCACGAGGAACUCCGAUUGCGCAGGCAGCUUACUAAACCAUAACUGACGCUCAGGCACGAAGGCGUGGGGAUCAAACAGGAUUAGAUACCCGGGUAGUCCCU